GACGAACGCUGGCGGCGUGCUUAACACAUGCAAGUCGAACGGAACGGCCCUGCUUUUGUGGGGUGCUCGAGUGACGAACGGGUGAGUAACACGUGAGUAACCUGCCCUUGACUUUGGGAUAACUUAAGGAAACUGGGGCUAAUACCGGAUAGGAGCUCCUGCUGCAUGGUGGGGGUUGGAAAGUUUCGGCGGUUGGGGAUGGACUCGCGGCUCAUCAGCUUGGUGGUGGGGUAGUGUCUUACCAAGGCUUUGACGCGUAGCCGGCCUGAGAGGGGGGCCUGCCACAUUGGGUUUGGGCUGCGGCCCAGACUCCUCCGGGACGGAGCAGUGGGGAAUAGUACACAGUGGGCGGAAGCCUGAUGCAGCAACGCCGCGUGGGGGAUGACGGCCUUCGGGUUGUAAUCCGCUUUCGUCUGUGGCGAAGCGUGAGUGACGGUAAUGGGUAAAGAAGCACCGGCUAACUACGUG
This 468-nucleotide ribosomal RNA is filed under the name uncultured bacterium. RNAcentral's name for it is "partial 16S ribosomal RNA". It matches the Rfam family "Bacterial small subunit ribosomal RNA", at positions 28 to 507 of the family's 1533-position model. The record is from RNAcentral.